This 1078-nucleotide ribosomal RNA is filed under the name Triticum aestivum (bread wheat). Its description in RNAcentral is "partial small subunit ribosomal RNA". Lineage: Eukaryota; Viridiplantae; Streptophyta; Magnoliopsida; Poales; Poaceae. The record is from RNAcentral.
CACUGAGUGCAAAAGCUAUUUGUUUGCCACUUAAGCUUAUAUAUUUUCUUUAGCUAUCGUCCUUUGACAUUUUCUUUAUGCAAUGGUUGGUUGAUCAAGCCGAGGACUUCCCUGCGGUGCUUGGUUGGACCAUGUUUCAUUCAGCUAAUAAAAUAGUAUAUAUGUGUGUGUGAUUGCUUCAUCAAUUUUCAGAAACAUUUGUUGCCCAGUAGCUUCCAAAUAGCAGUUUAGCUUUCUUUGUUGCACCUAUAUACUUGCACCUUACAACAACCAUCAUGUUCGCAAAUCGUCUCUAUGAAUGUCCUUUCUUUACUCAUUUAGGACUUAUGAGUUGAUUAAUAUGUCACUCUCAAUAAAGUGUUUUCUUUAAAUGAGGAAUGACAUAUAUAAUUGGUUCUAUUAUAGUAGCUAGCAUUCAUCUUUUCCAAAUAAAUUGUACUGCCUUUUGCUUUAUCUCUUGGUAUAUUUUUCAUUGCUAACAAUUGAUCUGUAGAGAUGCUAUUCUGUCAAGAUUUUCUGCUAUCAAAUAAUUCAUGGCCAGCUACAAUGUUUACCCUUUUAUGUAACUAUUGAGACCCUCUCAGCUGUGCGAUAUAAUCUCAGCUCUCAGGCGCUAGAUUAUGUAUGUACUUGCCUCUCGUUAUGGCACUCACAAUGCUUCAUGUUUGUUUACCUUUCUCAUUUCUGUGCUGUCCUGUAAUAAAACAAGAUAUUUACUCAAAUCCUUGCAGGAAUAACUAAGCCUUUCAAGGAUGUUGCUUGAAGAUGGAGGGAUCUUUCCCUACAAGUUUGUUCUUUUUGUUGUUACAGCAAAGACUACUUCCUGGGUUGUCGAGGAUGCUAGGUCAAGAAUGCAGGGUGGGCGAAAGAAAAUUGUGAAUGCUUUUAUCUCCGUGGUCAUUUGGAGCAUAUGGAGGGACAAGAUAGCGGGCUUUAAUAGUGUCUUCGCGCUGCUCCAGAGAGUCAUCGAUCCUGAUACUAGGCAGUAGGCUGGUGUGAGCUUGGGUCAUUUGAUCAUCCCCGAUUGUGUAAAGACUCCUCUGGAAUAUAUGCAAUCCUAUUGCAUGGUUUAAAAAAG